This is a long non-coding RNA of Python bivittatus (Burmese python), 570 nucleotides long. RefSeq lists it as uncharacterized. The record is from RefSeq and is a predicted model, not a curated record. Lineage: Eukaryota; Metazoa; Chordata; Lepidosauria; Squamata; Pythonidae.
GAAAAAAUCUAUAUAGAGCAUGUGCGUGUUUUGCCGUCUGUCUCUCCUUCGACGGUGGGCUUGUGGUUGUCAGAAGCUAACAGGAAAAGGGGAGGAAAUUCCCCUACACCAUCCACAGUCAAGAGAUGAUCUGAGAUUUCCUGCUUACCCCAGACCAACUACUGACUGUCAGCAGUGGCAGAAGAUGAUAGCUCCUGUUCCUUCCAGUGGCUCCCCAGACAGUUCCCUACGCCACAAGUUACAGAAGAGAAUCAGUGAAAUCCUGGAGAGGUGAGCAAAAGAGCAAGGAACGGAAUCCAAGUGCAGCUGGAAGACUCAGAGGAAAACAGCUGCUUUUGGGAUUCCGUUGCCCAUUCUUAUGCCUUCAUAGAAGCUGGUAACUGACUGAAAGCAGAACAGAAGGAGGCAAAUUCUGUUGCUGGAGAGACCAAGCUGCACACUGUGAACCCCACAGAGGAGAGCAACGCAUAUGACAGAGCAAGGGCGUGAACAUCAUUCCAGCAAGAGUAACACUGCACACUUAAAACCUGCAAGGAGACAAAGCCCAACGAAGGUCAAUAAACCUGUCUG